RNAcentral lists this long non-coding RNA (235 nucleotides) under Mytilus galloprovincialis (Mediterranean mussel). Lineage: Eukaryota; Metazoa; Mollusca; Bivalvia; Mytilida; Mytilidae. The record is from RNAcentral.
GUGCAAUUCAUAGUGCGUUAGAUGCACAAAUAUAUAUGCCACAAAUAAAUCAUCUUCAAAACAUUCUGGCAUUACUCUCUGAAUUUUCACAAUUUUUUAUCGGAGGUGACCCCAGUCAAAAAAUGUGAAGAAAAAAAAUCUGUUUUUUGGAGUAAAUGCGGUACUGCUAAAAAGGGCCUUAAGAUAAUGCCCACUUUCUCCAAUGAUUCUUUAUAUAUCAUCAAGUACUGAUUAU